UCCUGAUCAUCCUGAUGGCCUCUUUAG
This 27-nucleotide non-coding RNA is filed under the name Homo sapiens (human). The record is from RNAcentral. Lineage: Eukaryota; Metazoa; Chordata; Mammalia; Primates; Hominidae.